This 785-nucleotide ribosomal RNA is filed under the name uncultured Verrucomicrobiota bacterium. RNAcentral describes it as "bacterial SSU rRNA". It matches the Rfam family "Bacterial small subunit ribosomal RNA", at positions 394 to 1167 of the family's 1533-position model. Lineage: Bacteria; Pseudomonadati; Verrucomicrobiota. The record is from RNAcentral.
ACGCCGCGUGGAGGAUGACGGUCCUAGGAUUGUAAACUCCUGUCAUUGGGGAGUAAGACUUAAGCGUUAAGAGCGUUUAAGUUUGAUAGUACCCAAAGAGGAAGGGACGGCUAACUUCGUGCCAGCAGCCGCGGUAAUACGAAGGUCCCAAGCGUUGUUCGGAAUCACUGGGCGUAAAGCGUGUGUAGGCUGCGCGGAAAGUCAAAUGUGAAAGCCCGGGGCUCAACCUCGGAACUGCAUUCGAUACUCCCGUGCUAGAGUAAUGGAGAGGUAAGUGGAAUUCCUGGUGUAGCAGUGAAAUGCGUGGAUAUCAGGAGGAACAUCAAUGGCGAAGGCAACUUACUGGACAUUUACUGACGCUCAGACACGAAGGCUAGGGUAGCGAAAGGGAUUAGAUACCCCUGUAGUCCUAGCAGUAAACGGUGCUCGCUUGGUGUGGGAGGAUUCGACCCCUUCUGUGCCGGAGCUAACGCGUUAAGCGAGCCGCCUGGGAAGUACGGUCGCAAGACUAAAACUCAAAGAAAUUGACGGGGACCCGCACAAGCGGUGGAGUAUGUGGCUUAAUUCGAUGCAACGCGAAGAACCUUACCUAGGCUUGACAUGCUUGUCGUACUCUCCCGAAAAGGAGAGGUCACUUCGGGUGGACAAUGCACAGGUGCUGCAUGGCCGUCGUCAGCUCGUGUCGUGAGAUGUUUGGUUAAGUCCAGCAACGAGCGCAACCCCUGUGAACUGUUGCCAGCGCGUAAAGGCGGGGACUCUGUUCAGACUGCCCAGAUCAACUGGGA